GGCUCAGAUUGAACGCUGGCGGCAGGCUUAACACAUGCAAGUCGAACGGUAACAUAAAGAAGCUUGCUCUUUGAUGACGAGUGGCGGACGGGUGAGUAAUGCUUGGGAAUCUGGCUUAUGGAGGGGGAGUAACUACGGGAAACUGUAGCUAAUACCGCGUAGAAUCGGGAGAUGAAAGUGUGGGACCUUCGGGCCACAUGCCAUAGGAUGAGCCCAAGUGGGAUUAGGUAGUUGGUGAGGUAAAGGCUCACCAAGCCGACGAUCUCUAGCUGGUCUGAGAGGAUGACCAGCCACACUGAGACUGAGACACGGCCCAGACUCCUACGGGAGGCAGCAGUGGGGAAUAUUGCGCAAUGGGGGCAACCCUGACGCAGCCAUGCCGCGUGAAUGAAGAAGGCCUUCGGGUUGUAAAGUUCUUUCGGUAGCGAGGAAGGCAUUUAGUUUAAUAGACUAGGUGAUUGACGUUAACUACAGAAGAAGCACCGGCUAACUCCGUG
This 497-nucleotide ribosomal RNA is filed under the name uncultured Haemophilus sp. Its description in RNAcentral is "bacterial SSU rRNA". It matches the Rfam family "Bacterial small subunit ribosomal RNA", at positions 21 to 507 of the family's 1533-position model. Lineage: Bacteria; Pseudomonadati; Pseudomonadota; Gammaproteobacteria; Pasteurellales; Pasteurellaceae. The record is from RNAcentral.